GUGCAGCAGGCGCGAAACCUCCGCAAUGCGCGACAGCGUGACGGGGUCAUCCCAAGUGCCGCCCGCUGAGGACGGCUUUUCCCCAGUGUAAGGAACUGGGGGAAUAAGGGGAGGGCAAGUCUGGUGUCAGCCGCCGCGGUAAUACCAGCUCCCUGAGUGGUGGGGAUGAUUACUGGGCCUAAAGCGUCCGUAGCCGGCUUGGCAAGUCUUCCGUUAAAUUCGAUGAUUCAAUCGUUGGAUUGCGAGGGAUACUGUUCGGCUAGGGGGUGAGAGAGGCCAACGGUAUUCCCGGGGUAGGGGUGAAAUCCUAUAAUCCCGGGAGGACCACCAGUGGCGAAGGCUGUUGGCUAGAACACGCCCGACGGUGAGGGAUGAAAGCUGGGGGAGCGAACCGGAUUAGAUACCCGCGUAGUCC
RNAcentral lists this ribosomal RNA (415 nucleotides) under uncultured crenarchaeote. RNAcentral describes it as "partial 16S ribosomal RNA". It matches the Rfam family "Archaeal small subunit ribosomal RNA", at positions 330 to 747 of the family's 1478-position model. Lineage: Archaea; Thermoproteati; Thermoproteota. The record is from RNAcentral.